AUCCAGUCAGGAAACAGCCACAGGGAAGGGAACCCCUAAGCCACUUUGGGAGCCACAUCCACCACUUCUCUGCCCCUGACCCAGGCUGGUUCCUAGCCCUUAGGGUCCUACUGCGGACCUCCCGGCCAUAAUUAACGCAGGUGCAGGACCAGAGAGCCCCUUGGUCCCUCCCAACACAUGAGGGAACUUUGUGUGGUGAGGUCAGGUACAGUGUCUACGUUUCUGCUGUGAAUAGGGCUUUCUUGGAAACAAUUUUAAUUUCCCUUUUUAAAUAUCCCUUUGGAACCACAUUUAAUAAUUUGCUGGUGGAACUUAACAGUGAUAAAUCUUUGAAUCCAUUUUUCUUUUCUUUUUCUGACACGCAGUCUUGCUUUGUAGCCCAGGCUGGAAUGCUGUGACUCGAUCUGGGCUCACUGCAACCUCCACUUCCCGGGUUCAAGCGAUUCUCCUGCCUCAGCCUCCCGAGUAGAUGAAAUUACAGACAACCGCCACCACGCCCGGCUAAUUUUUGCAUUUUUUAGUAGAGAUUGGGUUUCACCAUGUGGGCCAGGCUGGUCUCGAACUCCUGAACUCAAGUGAUCUGCCCGCCUUGGCCACCCAAAAUGCUGGGAUUGCAGGCGUGAGCCACUGCGCCCGGCCUGAAUCCAUUUUAACACUGAGUUUUUCAGAUUAACUCGAAGUACCCCACAACUACACGCUAAUGAAACUAGAGGAGGCACAGCCUCAGCUCCGUGCAGGAUGGAUGCACAAGAGCAGAAUCUCCAUGGGACGCCUUUCUGGAGCAUCAGUAUUACUGCAGGAUUUGGAAGCAACAAGUUCAAAUAAUUUUCAACGUUAACACACUGGAAAUUUAAGAGAAGUCUGGAAACUCAUCUACCUUUAAAAACUGUCAGUCAUCUGUGCCUAAGUCAGACUUUCUCCAAGAAAAAAAAAAAAAGAAACUCUAAGGAGACCCUAUUUUUUAUUCUUCUAAGUAGUUAAAAUUAGAAAUCACAGCAAGUCAACAGGAAGCUCUCCUCUGCCAGUCUCCUAAAUCACAAUAUGGCCUUGUCGUGGCUGGAGUAUUUCAAAGGCUCAGUCCCACUCCAGAAUCGGCCCUGUCGCCUCCGCCCGCACUCCAGAGCCGGCUGAGAACCGCAGCGGCGCGGGAUCCACGUGCAGCGUCUCUCCAGGUCAAAGCUACCUAGAUGUCAUCAUACAAAUUACAGGCUAUGACGUCCACCUCAUUCUCUUUCUGGAAGGCUGACCUUAACUGUCCUGCACAUUCCUUACACAGCAUAUUUGCCCUUUUCCUAUACUAAUAAGCCCUAAAUCUUGGGGGUAACAGCCUGGGGAACUACCUGUCUUGCUACCACUCAAGACCAUACUUCUGUCCACAAAUUCCCCCCAAUAAAUUAUCUUUUACUGACAAA
RNAcentral lists this long non-coding RNA (1412 nucleotides) under Homo sapiens (human). RNAcentral's name for it is "novel transcript". Lineage: Eukaryota; Metazoa; Chordata; Mammalia; Primates; Hominidae. The record is from RNAcentral.